CGACGGUCCUCCUUAACCGGAGGCUAACAGGGAAUGCCGUGCCGCUCCUCGGAGCCAAUCGGCAGCUGUACCCGCAGCUGUAAGCGGCGAGCGACUGCCCAAGAGUCACUGGACCUCCAGGUCUGGGAAGACGAGCAGAAGCGACGACCCGCGAGCCAGAAGACCUGCCGGCGAU
Molecule: non-coding RNA, 175 nt
Filed under: uncultured Reyranella sp.
Lineage: Bacteria; Pseudomonadati; Pseudomonadota; Alphaproteobacteria; Hyphomicrobiales; Reyranellaceae
Source: RNAcentral